AUGGGUCUUCAUUUCUAUAGACACUGCUGUUCUUAAUCAAACUGUGAUUUGUGCUUUUCAGAUGCAAGAAAAUCAAUUGUAGAUAAAUAUUUGGUGCAAGAUUUUUAUUUGUUUGCAGGAAAGUCAGGUUCAAUGAAGACUAGUUUAAAAGUUCCCUGCCCUUGAUCCUCAGUUUCCCUUUUUCUUCAGUUUGUUCUUAAUCAUCAAUAGUACUAAAAGCAUGUUACAAAACAGAUACAAAACCUCUUUGAGUUACAAGAUCUUUCUACCUGUUUGCCCUUAUUCUUACCCAUUCUUUUAUUUAUUUAUUUACUUAUUUUUGUGCAAGAUACUUUAUAUCCCAGCAGGAUCUUAUUGAUGUCCCUGCUUUCAGCACAGCCAAACAAACCAAAUCAGCAUGAUUUCAGCAAUGGCAAAAUUCAUUGCAGAUGUGGGGAUGAAUGUCCGCAGCGGGAGUGCAUGGAAAGAGGGAUUUUAAAACCAAUCUUAUUCCCAAGAUAUCUACAGAGAAUUCCAACACUUCAGUGACUUAUUCUGGCAAUAAACAGGUGUUAGCAAUGAUGGCAACAGGUCAGGUCUGCUCCAGCUGUGAGUAACUGAGUGACACUGGGACUGAUGUUACCAGACUGAGCAACCAUGACACUGUACCCAGUUAAGUCCCUGCCACAAUUAUUCAUCACGCUUCUUCUACCACAUUCUCAUCCUGACUGCCUAACUUUGAGGAAGAAUAUGUUGAGUAUAGCAAAGGCAGGUACCAAGAAAACCCAAGGU
Molecule: long non-coding RNA, 771 nt
Filed under: Phasianus colchicus (ring-necked pheasant)
Lineage: Eukaryota; Metazoa; Chordata; Aves; Galliformes; Phasianidae
Description: lncRNA (ENSPCLG00000009047.1)
Source: RNAcentral